RNAcentral lists this ribosomal RNA (443 nucleotides) under Trachydactylus hajarensis. RNAcentral's name for it is "partial small subunit ribosomal RNA". It matches the Rfam family "Bacterial small subunit ribosomal RNA", at positions 766 to 1405 of the family's 1533-position model. The record is from RNAcentral. Lineage: Eukaryota; Metazoa; Chordata; Lepidosauria; Squamata; Gekkonidae.
UUCAAACUAGGAUUAGAUACCCUACUAUGCCUAGCCUUAAACUUUGAUAGUAAGACCUACUAUCCGCCAGAGAAUUACGAGCGAAAAGCUUAAAACUCAAAAGACUUGACGGUGCCCCAAACCAACCUAGAGGAGCCUGUCCUAUAAUCGAUGACCCACGCUUUACCCCACCUGCCCUCGCACAAAUCAGCCAGCCUAUAUACCGCCGCCUUCCAGCCUACCUUACAAAAGUAACACAGCAAGCAAAAUAGCCCCUCCGCUAAAACGUCAGGUCAAGGUGUAGCUAAUGGGCAGGAAAGAGAUGGGCUACAUUCUCUACGCACAUAGACCACCACCCCCGGUAUCAUGAAAACAUACCUCAAAGGUGGAUUUAGUAGUAAUUUAGGCAAGACUUCCUAAAUGAAUCCUGCUCUGGGGCGCGUACACACCGCCCGUCACCCUCA